UUACUCGUGAUGGUUGAUAGCUUAGCUAAAUUAAGUAUGGAUGUUGGGGAUAAGGAUCUUGUGUACAGUUUGUUACUUGUCUUCUCUGGAAUGUUGAUGGAUGAAAAAGGCAAAGAGUGCAUUCUGGACAACAUCCAAAUCACAAUCAGCGUUCUUAGUGAACUUGUUUCCUAUCCUCACAUGAUGUGACCCUACUGCUAUUUUUAUUAAUCCAUCCAUACUAAUUGUAUUCCUGUUACAUGUGCGAAUUAGUAUGUCAGUUUAACAACCUUUUCCCCUUAGGUUGUGCGGGAGACAACAUUACAAUGUUUAGUAGCCUUUUCGACAUUUCCUCACCCAAAGAUUUAUCCUGUGCGGCGAAAGGUUGUGCAGGCAGCAAUCAGAGCUCUCGACGAUAAGAAACGGGUUGUUCGUCAAGUGGUUGUCCGAUGCCGGCACACAUGGUACGGACAUU
This is a long non-coding RNA of Zea mays, 454 nucleotides long. RefSeq lists it as uncharacterized. The record is from RefSeq and is a predicted model, not a curated record. The transcript is spliced from 3 exons. Lineage: Eukaryota; Viridiplantae; Streptophyta; Magnoliopsida; Poales; Poaceae.